RNAcentral lists this ribosomal RNA (305 nucleotides) under uncultured bacterium. RNAcentral describes it as "bacterial SSU rRNA". It matches the Rfam family "Bacterial small subunit ribosomal RNA", at positions 337 to 640 of the family's 1533-position model. The record is from RNAcentral.
CCCUACGGGGGGCAGCAGUGAGGAAUAUUGGUCAAUGGUCGGGAGACUGAACCAGCCAAGCCGCGUGAGGGAUGAAGGUACAGAGUAUCGUAAACCUCUUUUGUCAGGGAACAAAGGCGGGGACGUGUCCCCGGAUGAGUGUACCUGAAGAAGAAGCAUCGGCUAACUCCGUGCCAGCAGCCGCGGUAAUACGGAGGAUGCGAGCGUUAUCCGGAUUUAUUGGGUUUAAAGGGUGCGCAGGCGGUCUGUUAAGUCAGCGGUCGAAGCCCGGGGCUCAACCCCGGCCCGCCGUUGAAACUGGCAGU